This 73-nucleotide transfer RNA is filed under the name Bos taurus (domestic cattle). It matches the Rfam family "tRNA". From Rfam's summary of the family: Transfer RNA (tRNA) molecules are approximately 80 nucleotides in length. The record is from Rfam by way of RNAcentral. Lineage: Eukaryota; Metazoa; Chordata; Mammalia; Artiodactyla; Bovidae. RNAcentral also lists the same sequence under 5 other names.
UCUCUGGUGGUCCAAUCAUAAGGACUCUGCAUUUUCACUGCUGUGGCCCCGGGUUCAAUCCCUGGUCAGAGAA